CAAUAGGUUCCAUUUGGAACCUAUAAUAUAUAAAAAAAAUUUUUUU
Molecule: non-coding RNA, 46 nt
Organism: Rhizophagus irregularis DAOM 197198w
Lineage: Eukaryota; Fungi; Glomeromycota; Glomeromycetes; Glomerales; Glomeraceae
Source: Rfam